Molecule: ribosomal RNA, 1021 nt
Filed under: Microbacterium sp. XYY-2015
Lineage: Bacteria; Bacillati; Actinomycetota; Actinomycetes; Micrococcales; Microbacteriaceae
Description: bacterial SSU rRNA
Rfam family: Bacterial small subunit ribosomal RNA
Source: RNAcentral
ACNNUGCAGUCGAACGGUGAAGCCAAGCUUGCUUGGUGGAUCAGUGGCGAACGGGUGAGUAACACGUGAGCAACCUGCCCUGGACUCUGGGAUAAGCGCUGGAAACGGCGUCUAAUACUGGAUAUGAGACGUGAUCGCAUGGUCGUGUUUGGAAAGAUUUUUCGGUCUGGGAUGGGCUCGCGGCCUAUCAGCUUGUUGGUGAGGUAAUGGCUCACCAAGGCGUCGACGGGUAGCCGGCCUGAGAGGGUGACCGGCCACACUGGGACUGAGACACGGCCCAGACUCCUACGGGAGGCAGCAGUGGGGAAUAUUGCACAAUGGGCGGAAGCCUGAUGCAGCAACGCCGCGUGAGGGAUGACGGCCUUCGGGUUGUAAACCUCUUUUAGCAGGGAAGAAGCGUAAGUGACGGUACCUGCAGAAAAAGCGCCGGCUAACUACGUGCCAGCAGCCGCGGUAAUACGUAGGGCGCAAGCGUUAUCCGGAAUUAUUGGGCGUAAAGAGCUCGUAGGCGGUUUGUCGCGUCUGCUGUGAAAUCCCGAGGCUCAACCUCGGGCCUGCAGUGGGUACGGGCAGACUAGAGUGCGGUAGGGGAGAUUGGAAUUCCUGGUGUAGCGGUGGAAUGCGCAGAUAUCAGGAGGAACACCGAUGGCGAAGGCAGAUCUCUGGGCCGUAACUGACGCUGAGGAGCGAAAGGGUGGGGAGCAAACAGGCUUAGAUACCCUGGUAGUCCACCCCGUAAACGUUGGGAACUAGUUGUGGGGACCAUUCCACGGUUUCCGUGACGCAGCUAACGCAUUAAGUUCCCCGCCUGGGGAGUACGGCCGCAAGGCUAAAACUCAAAGGAAUUGACGGGGACCCGCACAAGCGGCGGANCAUGCGGAUUAAUUCGAUGCAACGCGAAGAACCUUACCAANGCUUGACAUAUACGANAACGGGNCAGAAAUGGUCAACUCUUUGGACACUCGUAAACNNNGNGCAUGGUNGUCGUCAGCUCNNGUCGUGAGAUGUUGGNNAGUCCCGC